Molecule: unclassified non-coding RNA, 240 nt
Filed under: soil metagenome
Description: partial contains 5.8S ribosomal RNA, internal transcribed spacer 2, and large subunit ribosomal RNA
Source: RNAcentral
AACGCACGAGACCUGCGGACCUGCGGAAGGAUCAUUACAUGGCGGAGGAGGUGGGCACCUAGUAAAAACAAAACCCUAGGUGUGUUGCCUACCACGCUUUCUACCCUUGUCUAUUUGCACCUUUUGUCGUUCCCUCGGUGGGUCUUGAACCUGCCGGCGGCAACUUUCAAAAACCUUUUGUAGUUAGUAUCUAAUUCUUCUGAUCAAAUAUUCAAUCGUUACAACUUUUAGCAAUGGAUC